AGAAUUACACAAGUCAGGAAUAUCAACCCCUUGGCUUUGGUGCAUAGACAGAGGAAGCGGGAAAGAGCUACUAGCUAAAAUUCACAAAGGUUUUUGCGGGUCACAUAUAGGAUCUAAAGCCUUGGUAAGUAAAGCACUGAGGUAGGGAUUCUAUUGGCCCACCGCAAUUCAUGGUUCACAAAGCCUCGUAUGAAGUUGCGAAGCCUGUCAAAAGAUGGCAAAACAAUAGAAUGCACCAUCGCUGCCA
RNAcentral lists this long non-coding RNA (247 nucleotides) under Setaria viridis. RNAcentral describes it as "long non-coding RNA (SVIR_LNC010899)". The record is from RNAcentral. Lineage: Eukaryota; Viridiplantae; Streptophyta; Magnoliopsida; Poales; Poaceae.